RNAcentral lists this long non-coding RNA (722 nucleotides) under Olea europaea (common olive). RNAcentral's name for it is "long non-coding RNA (OEUR_LNC000952)". Lineage: Eukaryota; Viridiplantae; Streptophyta; Magnoliopsida; Lamiales; Oleaceae. The record is from RNAcentral.
AUCUAUAUGCUCACACUCAACUUAAAAUUGAAGAAUCAUAUUACUCUUGUUGCUAUUGCAGUUUAAAUUACCUGGCAGCUCUUUUUUGCUCAUAUUUAAUAAAAGGUAACCAGCCUCUUCUGUCAAAACAAUGUUUUUCAGUUAAAAUUGAAGUAAUUAUGGGAGAAGAAACCAUAUAAAAUCUGGACGAAAGGAUAUUUGAAAGUCAGAAUUAAAAUUAAAACGAAAACAUACCUGGGAUAUUUCCACUUCCACUCUCAAACGCAGAAAAAAGUAUAAAAGAAUCAUCAAAUCCACAAAAACUGUUGUUAUCUACUUCUGCUAGGUCCUACUCUCGCAACUAUGUGCUAGUACAAACCUAUACCAUUAUUCGAACGAAAGUUAAUAAUAAACUUUCAGCAUAGAAUCCUACUAUGUUGUCAAAUUGAUAAUGCCGCUAACUGUAACUUUACCAGGGUUCCAUUCUCUCUGACCACAUGAAAACAUUCAUCUUCAAAAGGCAGAUCUUUGAAUGUCAGCUUCUAGCACUUUAAUUCCUGACAACCAUAGCACAAAAAAAAAAAGAAAAAAAAAAAGAUAUAAUCUGAAAUGAGAAGUGUAUUGCAUUACCACUUCAAUCAAAUUGCAAAUUAACAGCUAAAUAGUUUCGCUCUAAAAAAUACCAUCAUUGAAACCAGGCAUUAAAUAACCGCAAAAUUGUUUAAAACAAAAAAUACUUCCAG